This 301-nucleotide ribosomal RNA is filed under the name uncultured bacterium. Its description in RNAcentral is "partial 16S ribosomal RNA". It matches the Rfam family "Bacterial small subunit ribosomal RNA", at positions 509 to 807 of the family's 1533-position model. The record is from RNAcentral.
CAGUAGCCGCGGUAAUACGAGGGGGGCAAGCGUUGUUCGGAAUUAUUGGGCGUAAAGGGUGCGUAGGCGGUUCAGCAAGUCUCGUGUGAAAUCUUCGGGCUCAACCCGAAGUCUGCACGGGAAACUACUGGGCUUGAGUAAUGGAGAGGUGAGUGGAAUUUCCGGUGUAGCGGUGAAAUGCGUAGAUAUCGGAAGGAACACCUGUGGCGAAAGCGGCUCACUGGACAUUUACUGACGCUGAUGCACGAAAGCUAGGGGAGCAAACAGGAUUAGAUACCCGUGUAGUCCCUGUCUCUUAUAC